Molecule: ribosomal RNA, 515 nt
Filed under: uncultured Streptococcus sp.
Lineage: Bacteria; Bacillati; Bacillota; Bacilli; Lactobacillales; Streptococcaceae
Description: bacterial SSU rRNA
Rfam family: Bacterial small subunit ribosomal RNA
Source: RNAcentral
GACGAACGCUGGCGGCGUGCCUAAUACAUGCAAGUAGAACGCUGAAGAGAGGAGCUUGCUCUUCUUGGAUGAGUUGCGAACGGGUGAGUAACGCGUAGGUAACCUGCCUUGUAGCGGGGGAUAACUAUUGGAAACGAUAGCUAAUACCGCAUAACAAUGGAUGACACAUGUCAUUUAUUUGAAAGAGGCAAUUGCUCCACUACAAGAUGGACCUGCGUUGUAUUAGCUAGUAGGUGAGGUAACGGCUCACCUAGGCGACGAUACAUAGCCGACCUGAGAGGGUGAUCGGCCACACUGGGACUGAGACACGGCCCAGACUCCUACGGGAGGCAGCAGUAGGGAAUCUUCGGCAAUGGGGGCAACCCUGACCGAGCAACGCCGCGUGAGUGAAGAAGGUUUUCGGAUCGUAAAGCUCUGUUGUAAGUCAAGAACGAGUGUGAGAGUGGAAAGUUCACACUGUGACGGUAGCUUACCAGAAAGGGACGGCUAACUACGUGCCAGCAGCCGCGGUAAUA